This 267-nucleotide signal recognition particle RNA is filed under the name Anaerococcus sp. Its description in RNAcentral is "signal recognition particle sRNA large type". It matches the Rfam family "Bacterial large signal recognition particle RNA". Rfam says of the family: The signal recognition particle (SRP) is a universally conserved ribonucleoprotein involved in the co-translational targeting of proteins to membranes. The record is from RNAcentral. Lineage: Bacteria; Bacillati; Bacillota; Tissierellia; Tissierellales; Peptoniphilaceae.
AUGCACUAGACGGGGAGAUAGCGGUGCCUUGUAACCUGCAAUCCGCUAUAGCAGGGUUGAAGUCCCACUGGAGGAUAUAAAAGUUUUAUUAAGACUUAUAAGCGUGGUGUUGAUUUCUAGGUCUUACGCAAUAGAAAGCUGUGAACCAUGUCAGGACGGGAACGUAGCAGCAUUAAGCAGUACUUUUUAUGUGUCGUAAGGUCACCUAGGAUGAGUCAUUCUUAUAAGACACUGGUAAGAGUUUUAUAGACGAAUUUGGGUGUGCUU